Molecule: small nucleolar RNA, 216 nt
Organism: Pteronotus mesoamericanus
Lineage: Eukaryota; Metazoa; Chordata; Mammalia; Chiroptera; Mormoopidae
Product: small nucleolar RNA U3
Exons: 1
Source: RefSeq, a predicted model, not a curated record
AAACAGAAAUUUCAAGGAAUCAUUUCUCUAGUUUGUUACUACAGAAGUUCCUCCGAAUGCAUAGCAUACUAGAAACCACAAGGAGGAGGAAGCACAGCGUUCUUCUCUCCUGAGCGUGAAGCUGGUUCUUGGUGUUGCUAUUGCAGCCGCCAUUUUCAUUGGUGAUCCAUCUUGUCCUGCUCUGGGAGAGCAAGAGGACGAGGACACCAUCUGAGU